GUGCUGUCACAACGGCUUCCUGGCGUGGCGGCGAAAACCUAAUGGAGCA
Molecule: non-coding RNA, 49 nt
Submitted as: unclassified sequences
Source: Rfam